This 472-nucleotide ribosomal RNA is filed under the name uncultured bacterium. RNAcentral describes it as "bacterial SSU rRNA". It matches the Rfam family "Bacterial small subunit ribosomal RNA", at positions 32 to 518 of the family's 1533-position model. The record is from RNAcentral.
AACGCUGGCGGCACGCUUAACACAUGCAAGUCGAACGGAGUUUAGAGAGCUUGCUUUUAAAACUUAGUGGCGGACGGGUGAGUAACACGUGAGCAAUCUGCCUUUCAGAGGGGGAUAGCAGUUGGAAACGACUGAUAAUACCGCAUAAUAUAGUAGGAUCGCAUGAUUUAACUAUCAAAGAUUUAUCGCUGAAAGAUGAGCUCGCGUCUGAUUAGAUAGUUGGUGAGGUAACGGCUCACCAAGUCGACGAUCAGUAGCCGGACUGAGAGGUUGAACGGCCACAUUGGGACUGAGACACGGCCCAGACUCCUACGGGAGGCAGCAGUGGGGAAUAUUGCACAAUGGGCGCAAGCCUGAAUGCAGCGAUGCCGCGUGAGGGAAGAAGGUUUUAGGAUUGUAAACCUCUGUCUUCAGGGACGAUAAUGACGGUACCUGAGGAGGAAGCUCCGGCUAACUACGUGCCAGCCGCCGC